This 384-nucleotide long non-coding RNA is filed under the name Eucalyptus grandis. Its description in RNAcentral is "long non-coding RNA (EGRA_LNC007949)". The record is from RNAcentral. Lineage: Eukaryota; Viridiplantae; Streptophyta; Magnoliopsida; Myrtales; Myrtaceae.
UACGUUGGAGCCCAAAAGACAAAGGAACAAUACGAUGAAAGCAAUAAAAGAUCGAUGGGUUUUUUUUUUUCACCUUCAUCAUGGGGCAGAAGAGUGGCAGCAGCAACUAAGUCAGUGAUGCUGAGAAGGACGAGCAUAGAGAAGAGAUAUCGAGCCAAGAAGAGAAUCGUCAUCAUUUCAGUCUCAAGCUCAACAAAGAGAGAGAGAGAGAGAGAUAGAGAGAGAGAGAGAGAGAGAGAGAUCUCCUAUUCUUUAAUCAGAGUAUGUGAAAACAAAACUUGGCUAAGCAAGGGAGCAAGAGAGAGAUAAUUUUUAAGUGAGCAAUCUAACUUCAUGCCUUUAUGUAUGAAAAAAGGGAGAGUGGAUAAAGACUUUUUGCUCUUG